UGCCCCAUGGCUGAGUUGGUUACAGCGUCCGACUGUUAUGAAGUAAGGUUCCUUACAUGACAUCGCCAUCGGAAGGUCGUGAGUUCGAGCCUCACUGGGGCAG
RNAcentral lists this transfer RNA (103 nucleotides) under Agrocybe pediades. RNAcentral's name for it is "tRNA-Asn". It matches the Rfam family "tRNA". Rfam says of the family: Transfer RNA (tRNA) molecules are approximately 80 nucleotides in length. Their secondary structure includes four short double-helical elements and three loops (D, anti-codon, and T loops). Lineage: Eukaryota; Fungi; Basidiomycota; Agaricomycetes; Agaricales; Agrocybaceae. The record is from RNAcentral.